GUACUCACUUCCAUUUUCCGUUGUCAUAAUACAUGAAGCUUUACUUGAGAAUGCUCUGGACACCUGGCUGUGGAAGGAAGAAUGAAAAUUGCAAUAAAAAAAUCCUAAUUCUAAUAGAAUACUAAUAAUGCUCUAAUUAGACCAUAAUAAUGCUAAGAAAGCUUAAUCAAAUUCAAAAAAACCUCAAAGAAAUUUCAAACAAACAAUAAGAAUUCUUAAAGAAAUAUUAGAAGAAUCACAAAUAUCACUCAAAUAUAUCUCAAUUCAAUCUUAAUUUAAUUCUAGUUAAAAUCCUAUUGAACUUCAUUAAAACUUUAGGCCAAAACUAAUUAAAUCUUAAAUCCUAAUAAAAUCCUAAACCCUAAAUCAAACCCUAAAUAAACCUUAAAUCAAACCCCAAUCAAAUCCUAAACCAAAUCCUAACCAAAUUCUAAACCAAAUCCUAAACCCUAAAUAAAACCCUAACUAAAUUCUAAACAAAAUCCUAAACCAAACCCUAAUCCAAAUCCUAAUCAAACCUUAAACCAAAUCCUAAACCAAAUCCUAACCAAACCCUAACCAAACCCUAAAUCAAAUCCUAGUAAUUCCUACAACAGAUUUUAAACCUCAAUAACUAAUUAAUAAA
RNAcentral lists this long non-coding RNA (625 nucleotides) under Physcomitrium patens. RNAcentral's name for it is "long non-coding RNA (PPAT_LNC001988)". The record is from RNAcentral. Lineage: Eukaryota; Viridiplantae; Streptophyta; Bryopsida; Funariales; Funariaceae.